CCUACGGGAGGCAGCAGUGAGGAAUAUUGGUCAAUGGACGAGAGUCUGAACCAGCCAAGUAGCGUGAAGGAUGACUGCCCUAUGGGUUGUAAACUUCUUUUAUAUGGGAGUAAAAUGUUCCACGUGUGGGAUUUUGUAUGUACCAUAUGAAUAAGCAUCGGCUAACUCCGUGCCAGCAGCCGCGGUAAUACGGAGGAUCCGAGCGUUAUCCGGAUUUAUUGGGUUUAAAGGGUGGGGAGGUGGAUGGUUAAGUCAGUUGUGAAAGUUUGGGGCUCAACCGGAAAAUUGCAGUUGAAACUGGAUGUCUUGAGUACACUAGAGGUGUGCGGAAUGCGUGGUGUAGCGGUGAAAUGCAUAGAUAUCACGAAGAACUCCGAUUGCGAAGGCAGUUCACUGGAGUGCAACUGACACUGAGGCUCGAAAGUGUGGGUAUCAAACAGGAUUAGAUACCCCAGUAGUC
This 460-nucleotide ribosomal RNA is filed under the name uncultured bacterium. RNAcentral's name for it is "partial 16S ribosomal RNA". It matches the Rfam family "Bacterial small subunit ribosomal RNA", at positions 338 to 795 of the family's 1533-position model. The record is from RNAcentral.